Long non-coding RNA from Diachasma alloeum, 1588 nucleotides. RefSeq lists it as uncharacterized. Lineage: Eukaryota; Metazoa; Arthropoda; Insecta; Hymenoptera; Braconidae. The transcript has 5 exons. The record is from RefSeq and is a predicted model, not a curated record.
UGGAAUUCCUUCGUAAUUAAUGUAAGUAUUUGUAUGUGAACAAACAAAAGUUCCUUUUGAGCUGUGAAUUUCGAGUUAUGAAGUCUUAGAAGACUUUGUUUUUUCUUCUGCAAAGAAUUUAGAAAUCACCGUGUUUAACCUCAAAGUUGAGCAUUCAGCGUGUCUCACAGUGUUUAACCUCGAAAGUCGUCAGUUUCAUAGUUCUAAUAUUUUUCUAGCAUGAGUGACGACGAACCAACACCGAACCCAUACGAUAUUGUAAAGUUUCAUGGUGAGCGAAAUGAGGAAGGCCUCCCAGUCCUUGAGAUCAUUGGUAUUAAGUGGUAUUCCCAAAGAGAUGAUGAAACGAAACAGGGCCUGUGUCAAUUUCCCCCCAAAGAUGAUUGAGGAAAAUUAGAAAAAUGGCUAAAAAAUCAAAUCGACCCCAAAUCUAAAUGGGAAACAUACAGCGUUGAGAUUUUGGCUUCUGCAGAUUGUUAUGAACAAGCACAGAGAAGACUGAAACGUCUGUAUAAGAAAGUCACAGAUGUGGAAUCCACUAAUUUUGAUUCUGAGGGAGGUAAUCAAGUGCAUCGUGUAUCCAGGACACGAGCAGCAUUGAUACUGCAAUCUACAUCCUCACUACAAUCUACAACCUCUUUGCAAUCCUUGAUUGAAUCACCUGGAGACCAUGACACCUGGAAUGUUUCUCGUCGUCGAUCAGUGUCUGCGUCCGCUAGUCGUGCUACAUCCCCCUAUACUCCACAAACCCUAAAUGAUGGCAAUCAUCAUCAGGUAUGACUGAGAACAUUGCAACUGCUCCCCUUCAAACGAGAGCAGCAACAAAUGUGACCCAGACCAAAGGAGAGAGAAGAAUCGAACUUAAAAAACGUCUCGAAACUCUACGCCAGCUGGUGCAAGGACAUUCUAACAAAACUUUUGUCGCUGACUAUCUGGAUACAAGUAUGGAAUUAUGGGCUUCAAAGGUGCAGAACGAUAUUGAGAACUCUAGGAGGACGCAACAGCACGACUUGGGUAGGAAAAUGGAAGACUUGAAGGUCUCGUUCCCUACUCAAGUUACCACAGGCGAUGAGCCAAGUUCUCCAUCAGAUAUCCCAGGAGUAGCAUUCCCCAUAGCGACUUUGGAGGAUUUUGAAAAAUUCGAGAAAAUGUUGGAUCCCAAGGAUGAGGCGAACCCAGCCAAUCCCGAUGCUGCACUGCAGAACCAAGGAGCUCUGUAAAACAUAAUGAAACUCAAGACACAAGGUUCUAAUGAUUAUGAGAAGAACAUUAAAAUUAUUAUGCCAACAUUAAUCAAGAAGGAGGUUCAGGGACAUUACAGUGGAUUUGGUCGUACGAAGAAAGGCGUAGGAAAGAAAAAUUUCAGUGCCACGAUGACAUUCAAGUGCUUGGAAGCGUUCCUUGAGCAAAAAUUUGCCGGUGGAACAGUAAAAUUCAUCACUGGAUCCAUAGUGAGUGCGUGGUUGGGAGACUGGAGUGAUCGUGAAGGAGGUGGUGCCAAACGAAAGAGAGGGGAGGAUUAGAUAGAAAAAAAAACAUAUUUCCUAAAAAUAUUAUUCCACUUGACUAGUUUUAUCUUCAGGAUAUU